RNAcentral lists this unclassified non-coding RNA (243 nucleotides) under uncultured fungus. Its description in RNAcentral is "sequence contains ITS2". Lineage: Eukaryota; Fungi. The record is from RNAcentral.
AACGCACAUUGCGCCCGCCAGCAUUCUGGCGGGCAUGCCUGUUCGAGCGUCAUUUCAACCCUCAGGCCCUGCCUGGUGUUGGAGGACUGCGCACCGCAGCCUCCCAAAGCAAGCGGCGGCGGCGCCCCAUAACCGAACGCAGUAGUUACAUCUCGUUCUGGGUCUGGGUCGUUGUCCUGCCGGAAAACCCCCAUCUUUUUAAUGGUUGACCUCGAAUCAGGUAGGAAUACCCGCUGAACUUAA